Molecule: non-coding RNA, 133 nt
Organism: Oryza sativa Japonica Group (Japanese rice)
Lineage: Eukaryota; Viridiplantae; Streptophyta; Magnoliopsida; Poales; Poaceae
Source: Rfam
GCAGCCGGAUGAUGAGGUCAAGGUGAACGUGACGGUGCGCCGGUCGACGGCGCUGCUAGGCGGCACCGGUGCAGUAGUGCAAGAAGGUGGGCCUCAGGAGGUCGACGGGGUGAUGUGGUUUCGACCGGCGGCG